ACCGGGUUCAGCUCCCGAGCGUGCGAGCGCGUCCCCGCUCGUCGCCCGGCUCGGCGUCGGGAGCGCGCUCUGUGUGGUCGCUGCUGCAGUGUUGUUGUGGCUGUGAGAAGGCGGCGGUGGCGCCGGAGCAGCAGCCGGACCAGACUCCCUAGUAGCUCAGGCGCUGCCCUGCGCCGGCCCUGGCAGGGAGCCUGAUGAGAUGGUGGAGGAGGAGGCUGUGCCGUGGCUGGCCUUGCUGUGUCCUGCUGCCUGGGAGGUGAGUGUGCGCCCUUCGCUCUCUGCCGUGUCUGUGAGGGUCCAUCGUUGCCGGAGACUGGAGGUCGGGGGCUAUGGGAGCCCCGGGGCGAACGGUGCGGACAUGGGCCUUGUGGAAAGGAGGAGUGACCGCCUGAGCGUGCAGCAGGACAUCUUCCUGACCUGGUAAUAAUUAGGCUGGAGUGCAAUGGUGCAAUCUCGGCUACUGCAACCACUGCUGCCCGCGUUCAAUCGAUUCUCCCCUCAGCCUCCCAAGUAGCUGGGAUUACAGAUCCUUCACUGAAUUCAACCCAGUCUACUCAACAGUUCACCAAGAGUCUUGCUAUCUCCAAUUUCAGGAUAUGCUUUCCAUCACCAAUACCCAGAAAAUUAUCACUGCAAAGCUGAGCAGUUUCUGGAGAAUCUUGGCUCAUUCACUGAAUUCUUCGGGAAGGGCUGCUUCCCUUUGCACAUCUUCACUAAACUUGGACCUUUUUGAUGACUCUCAUUUUCUAUCACCACCAUAGUCUUUAGAUGUCCAGUGGAGCAGGGAAACUGAUGGUUUCCUGCACAGGUUGCUCGGGGCAAAGAUGGAAGUUGGAAGUAAGGAAAAGCAUGGAGUUGGAAUUGGAUGCUGAAAGCUGAAGCAAAAGAGUACUCAACGUCUCUAUGGUUUUGCUUUGUGCUGGGCCUUCCUAAACCUUGUGAACACCUGAUAAAUGUUCAUUUGAUUAUGUCAAGCUCUUUGGAGCAGUAGCUUUCAACCCUGAUUAGGAUGUCAGAAUCCUUUGGAAGAAUUUUUUUAAAAUCUAUGGGCAUGGAACCCAUCCAUCGGUAUUUUUAAAAAUUUCCCAGGUGGUUUCCAUGAGUAGCUAAGGUUGAGAACCAUGGUUUUGGAUUUCCCACUUGAUGAUUUUAAACCAUAACAUCACUUUGCCUAUUUUUCUAAAUAUUCCUCUUUCUACAGUCAGCUUUCAAAAGUCAGACUACAACUGAAUCAAAGAAUUACACAAGAAAGGGGAAACUGAGCCAUCCUUCAGCAACUCCAGGAACAAAUCAAGGUACAUAUAAUGAUGGGGUAGUAAAUGCUAAUAUCGUCUAUCUCCUUCCCUUGUAUCUAUCCCUGUUUUUGUUCCCCUCUGUCCACUCUGGCUUCCUAUUCUCCCUUUGUGGCAAAAUAUCCACUAUUCUUGAAGACAGCAAACCAGCAAACCUGCUAAUAUUAAAGCUUCAGUGACCCAGUAGGUAGCUACACUUUGAGGAACAUUUGCAUUUCCAAAGAAAUUAUCUGAAGAGAAAAAUGUCUAAUUCAAUGGGCUGAAAUGCAAAUUGUUAUAUUUCAGGCUAGAAAGAUAUCUAACCCAAGGAACUUCCUUAUCAUGCUCUGGGAGACAGUAGGCUGCCUCAUGGAAGGCCGUUAUAGAUGUCUAACUAAACAUUGCAAAAAAUAGAAGCAUUGGCUUGGGACUGAGAAAUGAUAUGCAUUUGGUGCAAAAGUAAUUGCAAUUUUUGCCCUUGAAAAUGAUGGUUAAAACUGCAAUGACUUUUGCAUCAACCUAUGGAUUAGUAAUUGAUACACAAAGACAUGACACAUGAGAAUACCAACUGCACUGCUUGGCACAUAGUAGACAUUCAACAAAUGCUUCUCGCUGACAACUUUUGCUUUCCUCCUCAAUCACCCACUUUUUAGAAUCCUUGAAAAAAUCUUACAAAUUUUUCAAAUAUUCAGGAAACUUAAAUAACAUCAGAUUUAGAGAAGAAUUAUUGGCUGUAGCCAAUUUUUGGACCUAUACAUUUUUUAAACUAUGUGAUAGGAAUCUCUUCAUUUUUUAGAGCAACAUGGAUGCAUAUCAAUUACAAACCUUGCUAAAUCAUCCUUUCUAUCUCUGAGGCAAUAAAAUUCAUUAUCCUGGUUAGUUUGAGGAUAUACUUAACCCAUAAACACCAACAGCAAGUAUAGAUUCAGACAUUUGUAUCUAUAAUUUAGACAGUUUAAAAUGCAAUAUUAAGUAAUUCAAAAAUUGUUCAAAGCUCAGUACCUUUUCACACAUUAAUACUUUGAUUAUCAACUUCCUUUUAAAGAGUGAGUAGAAAAGGGUUAGUAAGUAGAAAAGAGUAAAAGAGGCCUUUCUUUCACAACUUGCCAAGACAUGCAUUACUUAUUUAAAAUUUAAAAAAAAAUGCUGUUUGAAAAACAAGAAGGAUGGCAAGAAUGAAGCUCCUUCAUGCAAGAUACCUCUGACUACCCUCUAAAGACAGAUACUAUGGCAUGGUCAUAGAAUUACUGCAGGAAAAAAUUUGUCCACUGAGGCUGCUUCCUCCAGAGGUAAGGUUUAACUUAUGGUAACUUGCUAUGGAUCAACAGCUCAAGAUGAAGUGUGUGGCUGGCAAUUUAAGUGUAAAAUUAGAUUUCCAGUAUAAUCAGUCAUCUGAUAGCCCAUCUAAAUGUAUUCUGCAUUUGCACAUUUAAUUAAUUAUGUCUUAAUUGAAAACAUUUUGCUCAUAACGAUUGGUUCUAAUUUUAUUCCAAAUUAAAUUAGUAGGGGAGAAAUUUAGUUUGGGAAUUUAUUGAUUUAUAUAUAUAUUAAAGAAAAAGUAAAAAUAAUGGAUUUUCUCUUUUCUUCUUAAAAGGAAAUAUCUUUCUGCUCAUUUAGAGGUGCAAAGGAAAACAUUUAGAACUUUCCAGAUGAAUAAAUUGCAUUUCAUCUGAAUGAACACCUAACUUUGGAGAUGGAGAGAACAUUCUUUUGUAUUGUUGUAGAUAUGCCUAGUAUAAUAUUGGUAUAAUUAAUUUUUCAGCUACAAUGCAGAUUCCUGGGUCAGUGCAAAAGACCUUGUUUAUUUAGAAGUGAUUAUCUGAGAAAGUGGCUCAUUAGUCUUAGAUUCUUGGAAUGCACAGUCUGGUCUAGAGAUUAAAAUAGCUAUUUAAAUUUCCUUUAUGAAAAUUGUGCCUGACAGGGCACUUCCAUGUGCAGUGAGGUUUGUAUUUGCACAUCUAGAGCAUCCAGGAAAUCAGCAAAGGUGGGUUUUGUGUCUUUAGAUAUGCUACAGUUGAUAAACCCUAAGAUUCAGAUAUUAACUAUUGGAUAAGCUCUUGCAUUUCCCAUAACUUUAGCUUUGAAGCCAUUCAUUACCUUAAUACUAAGGAAAGAAUGUCAGAAAAUCCAAAGAGAGAGAAUUCUCAGUUAUGAUUUUUGGACAUAUAAUUGGAAAGAAGUCAGAUUUGGCUUUUACAAUUAGUGCCAUAUAAUGUCACACAAAGUAUUUCCUGCAGUGUGCUCAAAGAGGUCAAUUUGUGAUUUAUUUGCAAGUCAUAGUUCUGAAAUUACUGACUUGUGUGUGUAACAAUUUAGCUUUAACUUGGGCACUUAAUUUAGCAUUAAAUAUAGCUCCUCUUCAAUAUUGACCCUUGCCCUGAACAAGAUGUCAUUUCAUAAACCCAAUUAAACAUGGUGCCUACUGUGGUUUAAAUACCAAGACAGAUUAAAUGUAUUGUCCAGUUUCACAGAUCAGCAAUGCUUCUCUUCCUGUAUCACUAGCUCAUGAUAAUAACAUAAGGGACCAGUCUGUGCCAGUGGAUGGGUCAGAAUUAAAAGAGGAUAAAUAUUGAUGUCCUGCCUGAAAGAAAACUGGGCACCCAAGGUGUCAGAGAGUUGUCUGAUAUACUGUGACAUGAAUGUCCCAUAUAUAUAAAUUGCAGCCUUUUUAAAAUAAGGUAGAAUUGUUUGUGGAAGAUUAAAAACUCUCUUUCUAAAUUGUUGAAUUCAAAUAUUUAGUUAAUAAAUAAAUCACUGCUAUUUUCAUCAAUAUUGGAGUUGUUUCUUCAAGUUUGUGUGUUUUCUCAAUUAGAAAAAAAGUCUAAUUUGUUUAAAUAGUGAGAAGUCAACAUUGAACUGUUGUCUACUCAAUAGCCACAAUUCCUUAUUUCUUGUUUACAAUGACCAUAGAUUGUUUAUGUUUGUAUUGUUGCAACAAGUUCACAGACAAUGGAUUCCUCUCUCAAUCUGAGAGGAUGAGCCAUGGUUGGUCUAGGCCAUGAAUAUUGUGGUAGAUUGUAUUGUGUAUUCAUAAUUCUUUGUUCUCUGGCCAGGUGCAGUGUCUCACGCCUGUAAUCCUAGCACUUCAGGAAACUGAGGUGGGCAGAUUGCCGGAGCUCAGGAGUUCGAUACUGGCCUGGGCAACAUGGCAAAACCCCUCUCUACUAAAAAUACAAAAAAUUAGCUGGGUAUGCUGGUGCACACCUGUAAUCCCAGCUACUUGGGAGCCUGAGGUGUGAGAAUCACUUGAACCCAGAAGGCGAAGAAUGCAGUGAGCCAAGAUUGUGCCACUGCACUCCAGCCUGGAUUGACAGAGCGAGACUCUGUCUCAGAAAAAAAUAAUUAAAAAAGAUGAUUCUUGUUCCCUCCCCAUCCUUACCUUUUUUUAAUGAGGAAAGAGAAUAUUUCCCUGUAUCACUGACUUUGGGCUUGGCUAUGUGACUGCUCUACCCAAUAGAAUUUGGGUAGGUUAAUAGUAAUAGAAGUAACUAAGCAGAACUUUAAAGAAGCUUCUCCUCUUCAACUCUUGUUCAUAAAGCAUUAUAAAAAUCAAUAUAUAUAAAGCAUUAAAAAAUCAAAUGCCCUAAGUAGUCUGUGUCCUUCAACAUGGGUCCAGGAAUGAGAGACACCUGGAGCACACCUGACUCUCAUCUGUAGUCUAAGGUAGAACUGCUGCAACCAAUUCGCAAAAUUCAUGAGCAAGGAGUAAAUGCUUGCUGUUAUCGGUGAGUAACUUCUUGUCAAGUUUCUUAAGCAUUAUUGGAGCAAAAGCAAACUAAUACAAAUGUUAAUGUAAUUCCUUUGCUUGUGAUUGAUUUAGAGAUGAAUAUUUGUCCUGUUUCCAGGUAAUACAAUGUAUUUAGGAAGAAUGCCAAAGGAGGGAGCUUAUUAGUAGGAUUUUGACCUCUAAUGAAAAUGAUGGCCAAAUAUAUGAAAUUUUUUCUUUCUUUGGUUUUUAUUGUUUAAAGACAUAAUUAUUUAAGUUGUGUUAGUUGUGUGUGAUCUUAUAACUAUGAGGAAUUACAUAGAAUGAAAAUGGAAUGUGCUGUGGUGGCAGAACAGAAAGAAGUUGGGUGAUUGACAUUGUUGAGCUGCUGCAGGAAAUCUGUUAGUCUCCAUUUCCGGAGGUCUUGCUAUGUAGAAAAAUUGGAUGACUUUAUUGCUUAAGUCACUAUAAGAAUGUUUUCUGUUACCUGCAACCCAAUGCACCCAACUAAUAAAGUAUGUU
Pan troglodytes (chimpanzee) is the source of this 5499-nucleotide long non-coding RNA. RefSeq lists it as uncharacterized. The record is from RefSeq and is a predicted model, not a curated record. Lineage: Eukaryota; Metazoa; Chordata; Mammalia; Primates; Hominidae. The transcript has 5 exons.